CCUACGGGAGGCAGCAGUAGGGAAUUUUCGGCAAUGGGGGGAACCCUGACCGAGCAACGCCGCGUGAACGAAGAAGUUAUUCGUAAUGUAAAGUUCUUUUAACAGGGAAGAAAGAGAAAUCUGACGGUACCUGAAGAAUAAGCUCCGGCUAACUACGUGCCAGCAGCCGCGGUAAUACGUAGGGAGCGUGCGGUAUCCGGAUUUAUUGGUCGUAAAGGGUGCGUAGAUGGCAUAGUAAGUCUUUGGUAAAAGUGCUGGGAUCAACCCAGUAGGGCAAAAGAUACUGCAAAGCUAGAGUGUAACAGAGGCAAGUGGAACUACAUGUGUAGCGGUAAAAUGCGUAGAUAUAUGUAAGAACACCAGUGGCGAAGGCGGCUUACUGGGUCGAAACUGACAUUGAGGCACGAAAGCGUGGGGAGCAAACAGGAUUAGAUACCCGUGUAGUC
This 446-nucleotide ribosomal RNA is filed under the name uncultured bacterium. RNAcentral's name for it is "partial 16S ribosomal RNA". It matches the Rfam family "Bacterial small subunit ribosomal RNA", at positions 338 to 795 of the family's 1533-position model. The record is from RNAcentral.